UACAGAGAGUGCGAACGUUGUUCGGAAUUACUGGGCUUAAAGCGCACGUAGGCGGCAUCGUAAGUGUCUGGUGAAAUCCCACGGCUCACCCGUGGAACUGCCAGGCAUACUGUGAUGCUCGAGUGUGGUAGGGGAGAGCGGAACUCCUGGUGGAGCGGUGAAAUGCGUAGAUAUCUGGAGGAACACCGGUGGCGAAGGCGGCGUUCUGGACUGCAACUGACACUGAGGAACGAAAGCCAGGGUAGCAAACGGG
RNAcentral lists this ribosomal RNA (253 nucleotides) under uncultured bacterium. RNAcentral describes it as "partial 16S ribosomal RNA". It matches the Rfam family "Bacterial small subunit ribosomal RNA", at positions 524 to 776 of the family's 1533-position model. The record is from RNAcentral.